AUGCAUGGCAUCACUCAAAUGUGUGUAUUCCUGCUGUUGAAUUUUAGAAUCAGCACUCUGUUUUCUUUUCAAGCUUCUCUCGAAACCAUCUUUGAGAAAAAUUCUUUACUAAGUAAUGAUUUCUUCUUUUCUGUAGUAUUCCUCAAGUUUAUGAAUGAACUGAUAGAUGUCAUCUACUGCCUAUUAAGUAGGCUAUGCAAAAUAUGUUUUCAUGUAACUUGUACCCAUGCACCAGUGAUAAAGCUGAUAAUUUUCAUUUUAUCUCAGGGUUCCUCCGUCCAUUUAUCUCCUUUUAUGUUCAGUGGUGAAGAGGGUUAUAUUCCUAACUAUGUAGAGAUUAUUAAGGGUGUCAAGUUACUUCUCAUAAGUGAUCGGGACUAUGAGAUCAUUAAGGGGCAUUGA
Molecule: ribosomal RNA, 402 nt
Filed under: Triticum aestivum (bread wheat)
Lineage: Eukaryota; Viridiplantae; Streptophyta; Magnoliopsida; Poales; Poaceae
Description: partial small subunit ribosomal RNA
Source: RNAcentral